This 330-nucleotide ribosomal RNA is filed under the name uncultured bacterium. Its description in RNAcentral is "bacterial SSU rRNA". It matches the Rfam family "Bacterial small subunit ribosomal RNA", at positions 972 to 1301 of the family's 1533-position model. The record is from RNAcentral.
UACCAGCGUUUGACAUGGUAGGACGGUUUCCAGAGAUGGAUUCCUUCCCCUUACGGGACCUACACACAGGUGCUGCAUGGCUGUCGUCAGCUCGUGUCGUGAGAUGUUAGGUUAAGUCCCGCAACGAGCGCAACCCUCGUCUUUAGUUGCCACCAUUUAGUUGGGCACUCUAAAGAAACUGCCGGUGAUAAGCCGGAGGAAGGUGGGGAUGACGUCAAGUCCUCAUGGCCCUUACGCGCUGGGCUACACACGUGCUACAAUGGCGGUGACAGAGGGCCGCAAACCCGCGAGGGUGAGCUAAUCUCCAAAAGCCGUCUCAGUUCGGAUUGU